Molecule: ribosomal RNA, 253 nt
Filed under: uncultured bacterium
Lineage: Bacteria
Description: partial 16S ribosomal RNA
Rfam family: Bacterial small subunit ribosomal RNA
Source: RNAcentral
UACGAAGGGGGCUAGCGUUGCUCGGAAUCACUGGGCGUAAAGCGCACGUAGGCGGAUCUUUAAGUCAGGGGUGAAAUCCCGAGGCUCAACCUCGGAACUGCCCUUGAUACUGGGGAUCUCGAGUCCGGAAGAGGUUGGUGGAACUCCGAGUGUAGAGGUGAAAUUCGUAGAUAUUCGGAAGAACACCAGUGGCGAAGGCGGCCAACUGGUCCGGCACUGACGCUGAGGUGCGAAAGCGUGGGGAGCAAACGGG